Molecule: non-coding RNA, 83 nt
Organism: Oryctolagus cuniculus (rabbit)
Lineage: Eukaryota; Metazoa; Chordata; Mammalia; Lagomorpha; Leporidae
Source: Rfam
GGUGCUGUGGCGCAGUGGGUUAACGCCCUGGCUUGAAGCGCCAGCAUCCCAUAUGGGCACUGGUUUGAGACCUGGCUGCUCCA